This 747-nucleotide long non-coding RNA is filed under the name Fukomys damarensis (Damara mole-rat). RNAcentral describes it as "lncRNA (ENSFDAG00000027869.1)". The record is from RNAcentral. Lineage: Eukaryota; Metazoa; Chordata; Mammalia; Rodentia; Bathyergidae.
CCCAAUAAAGCGGAAGCGUUCCAGAAACCUCUCCGGAGUCUGCGUGGAGAUUCUGCACCUUGCUCUCCCAGCCUGGAUCCCUGAACCUUGUCAUGCAAGAAGGCUCACGGACGAAAACAGCAAUUGGCACCUGAACAGGGGACCCGCUUAUACUGGGUAAAUAUUGAAGUUUCAGAUCUACUGCCCGUGACAUCUCAGCUAUUUAAUAACUCCACUGUUCCAGCCAAGCCUCCCCCAGGAGCACUUCGGGCCUCCUGUCCACCGGCGAAGCUCUCUGAAGGAGCCAUGAGAAGCCGCAGGUGCGAGAAAUCUGAGGAUCCCCUCUCCGAGGAGCCUCUCUUUGGGCAGGGUUUCCGCCAAAUACAAACAUCACAGCGAGUCCUCACCCGCCACACUCACUGAUCUGACACCACGUGAAGGAGCCUGGCUCUUGAGGCAAAACGACCACGAAAGGUCAACAUUACGAAUGUGCUCAGUCAUGACAGUGCAACUAAGACAAGGAGGAGAACGUCCACGACCGCUUUAGAAAGUGCCAACAAUGACAGCGUCAGUGUGCUCGAAGCAAGGGGCAGUAUUUUAAGAGGGCAUUGUGACAGUGUGUCUUUUACUUCAAUAACUUUCUGAUAUUUGAACAUUCACUGUGUUUUUGAUUAUGUCUCAUUUCACUUAAUCAUACUACUCUAGUCAAUAAUGGUUACAAGUAAAGCUCAAUUCUCUAACCAAAAAUAACUCUUCAAUACGGUAGGC